AUGUCGCCGGUGAUCAGCGAGAUCCUCCUCUCGGGGUUUAUGAUCAACUCCACACUCCGGCGCCGAACCCACCUCGUCCAGUCCUUCUCCGUCGUCUUCCUCUACUGGUUCUAUGUCUUCUCAUAA
Molecule: ribosomal RNA, 126 nt
Filed under: Triticum aestivum (bread wheat)
Lineage: Eukaryota; Viridiplantae; Streptophyta; Magnoliopsida; Poales; Poaceae
Description: partial small subunit ribosomal RNA
Source: RNAcentral